GCCUUCUUGGUGUAGUGGUCAGCAUGCUCGACGCGUAACCGAGAGGUCCAUGGUUCGAUUCCCGGCGAAGGCG
RNAcentral lists this transfer RNA (73 nucleotides) under Stegodyphus mimosarum. It matches the Rfam family "tRNA". Rfam says of the family: Transfer RNA (tRNA) molecules are approximately 80 nucleotides in length. Lineage: Eukaryota; Metazoa; Arthropoda; Arachnida; Araneae; Eresidae. The record is from Rfam by way of RNAcentral.